GACGAACGCUGGCGGCGUGCUUAACACAUGCAAGUCGAGCGGUAAGGCCCUUUCGGGGGUACACGAGCGGCGAACGGGUGAGUAACACGUGGGUGACCUGCCCUCAGCUCUGGGAUAAGCCUGGGAAACCGGGUCUAAUACUGGAUAUGACUCCAUGACGCAUGUUGUGGGGUGGAAAGCCUUGUGCGGCUGAGGAUGGGCCCGCGGCCUAUCAGCUUGUUGGUGGGGUGAUGGCCUACCAAGGCGACGACGGGUAGCCGGCCUGAGAGGGCGACCGGCCACACUGGGACUGAGACACGGCCCAGACUCCUACGGGAGGCAGCAGUGGGGAAUAUUGGACAAUGGGGGCAACCCUGAUCCAGCGACGCCGCGUGUGUGAAGAAGGCCUGCGGGUUGUAAAGCAC
RNAcentral lists this ribosomal RNA (404 nucleotides) under uncultured bacterium. RNAcentral describes it as "bacterial SSU rRNA". It matches the Rfam family "Bacterial small subunit ribosomal RNA", at positions 28 to 433 of the family's 1533-position model. The record is from RNAcentral.